GAUGAACGCUGGCGGCGUGCCUAAUACAUGCAAGUCGAGCGAACGGACGAGAAGCUUGCUUCUCUGAUGUUAGCGGCGGACGGGUGAGUAACACGUGGAUAACCUACCUAUAAGACUGGGAUAACUUCGGGAAACCGGAGCUAAUACCGGAUAAUAUUUUGAACCGCAUGGUUCAAAAGUGAAAGACGGUCUUGCUGUCACUUAUAGAUGGAUCCGCGCUGCAUUAGCUAGUUGGUAAGGUAACGGCUUACCAAGGCAACGAUGCAUAGCCGACCUGAGAGGGUGAUCGGCCACACUGGAACUGAGACACGGUCCAGACUCCUACGGGAGGCAGCAGUAGGGAAUCUUCCGCAAUGGGCGAAAGCCUGACGGAGCAACGCCGCGUGAGUGAUGAAGGUCUUCGGAUCGUAAAACUCUGUUAUUAGGGAAGAACAUAUGCGUAAGUAACUGUGCACAUCUUGACGGUACCUAAUCAGAAAGCCACGGCUAACUACGUGCCAGCAGCCGCGGUAAUACGUAGGUGGCAAGCGUUAUCCGGAAUUAUUGGGCGUAAAGCGCGCGUAGGCGGUUUUUUAGUCUGAUGUGAAAGCCCACGGCUCAACCGUGGAGGGUCAUUGGAAACUGGAAAACUUGAGUGCAGAAGAGGAAAGUGGAAUUCCAUGUGUAGCGGUGAAAUGCGCAGAGAUAUGGAGGAACACCAGUGGCGAAGGCGACUUUCUGGUCUGUAACUGACGCUGAUGUGCGAAAGCGUGGGGAUCAAACAGGAUUAGAUACCCUGGUAGUCCACGCCGUAAACGAUGAGUGCUAAGUGUUAGGGGGUUUCCGCCCCUUAGUGCUGCAGCUAACGCAUUAAGCACUCCGCCUGGGGAGUACGACCGCAAGGUUGAAACUCAAAGGAAUUGACGGGGACCCGCACAAGCGGUGGAGCAUGUGGUUUAAUUCGAAGCAACGCGAAGAACCUUACCAAAUCUUGACAUCCUUUGACAACUCUAGAGAUAGAGCCUUCCCCUUCGGGGGACAAAGUGACAGGUGGUGCAUGGUUGUCGUCAGCUCGUGUCGUGAGAUGUUGGGUUAAGUCCCGCAACGAGCGCAACCCUUAAGCUUAGUUGCCAUCAUUAAGUUGGGCACUCUAAGUUGACUGCCGGUGACAAACCGGAGGAAGGUGGGGAUGACGUCAAAUCAUCAUGCCCCUUAUGAUUUGGGCUACACACGUGCUACAAUGGACAAUACAAAGGGCAGCGAAACCGCGAGGUCAAGCAAAUCCCAUAAAGUUGUUCUCAGUUCGGAUUGUAGUCUGCAACUCGACUACAUGAAGCUGGAAUCGCUAGUAAUCGUAGAUCAGCAUGCUACGGUGAAUACGUUCCCGGGUCU
RNAcentral lists this ribosomal RNA (1371 nucleotides) under uncultured bacterium. RNAcentral describes it as "bacterial SSU rRNA". It matches the Rfam family "Bacterial small subunit ribosomal RNA", at positions 28 to 1381 of the family's 1533-position model. The record is from RNAcentral.